GUCGAAACGUGACAAGUUUGCAUGUUUACAUUGUGUUAUAUGUGUGUAGCCGCGGGUAUUUUUGCGAAAAGCCUAGUAAGUGUUAAGACCCUCAAAAGUCCUCGGCGCAGCCCAAGAGGAAUCCUAUUCAGUACAGUGGGAGGAAGAUCUAAAUCAUCAGGCUCCAUAGUGAGGUUAUGCUGGGUUCAUAGAAGACUGGAGCUGAAGAGAGGGUCAGCUGUGUGUGACCUCACCACAGAUAAGUCUUUACUUGGAGACGCCGAACACACGGCGGGUGACUCUUGGACUGUGACGUAAGCCUCGCCCUUCUGUCUCCAAGUCUACGCUUUAUAAUACCGUUCUAAUGAAAAGGGAAUCUCACACCAAAUCCUCCUCAAUAACACUUAUUUGAAAGACUGUGAAAAGAUCAACACUCUUAGGCUACUCUUAAAUAUAUUUUCAUCUCCUUGAUGAUUAUGCACUGAUAACUUUCCCAUUUUUCUAUCAUCGAUUUUGGAGUCUAAGUCCAAUCAUAUUAUGCCUAUUUUGUUUAUUUUGUUACCUAUCUGUGUUCAUUGUAACUCAACGGCUUUUCUGUUCCCCAGUUCGCCAGAACAGUUAUGCACAGCAUCCAAUAGACUAGGCCUUCACGAAUUUGACUUUAUUGUUUGGCAAUUUGAAUAGCAGCUGCUUUAAAAUUACAGACAGAUAUGACAGACAGAAAGAUGAAAGGAUGUAUAGGCGUAUGGCUAGACCAACACAUAGGCAUGAUAUAUAUGAAGCCCUAUUUGUUUAGCCUAAAGUUGGUUAACCCAAUAAACUAUUAUAUAAUAGAAAACAAUUGUCAAGUGGAAUUGAUGAUUGAUAGGCCUAUUGAUUGAUGACAAUGACAAGUCUUUGGUAUUAUAAUGAGUUGUAACUGUUGGUUCUACGUCGAUGGUCUCCACAUACAGCCUCCGGGGCUUGUAAAAGGUAACUUUGGCCCUCUGACCUCGCUCUAGGAAUUCCAUCCUCUCCCCGUUACUAAAUCUUUCUCCUUCACAGGCUCUACCUUUGCUUCACAACGUUAUAAACUGUUUGCCUUUUAUGCAAGGCCUAGUAACCGAGGCAUUUUAUUGUCACCACGUGGGACCAGGGUUCAAGCAACAGCCGUCCGACAAGAGAGGUGAAGGGGCUAGAGGAAGGAUAACUCUUACUGACUUGAUGAAACUUUCAACAGUUUAGGCCUACUUUUCUGUUUAGCCUAAUAUUGUGACGAACGAAAAAUGUAGCCUGUUGCGGUGUGUUUUCAGAAUAAUUGUCUCAUGA
This is a long non-coding RNA of Oncorhynchus tshawytscha (Chinook salmon), 1287 nucleotides long. Lineage: Eukaryota; Metazoa; Chordata; Actinopteri; Salmoniformes; Salmonidae. The record is from Ensembl.